UACCAGCACCCCGAGUGGUCGGGACGUUUAUUGGGCAUAAAGCAUCCGUAGCCGGUUCUACAAGUCUUCCGUUAAAUCCACCUGCUUAACAGAUGGGCUGCGGAAGAUACUAUAGAGCUAGGAGGCGGGAGAGGCAAGCGGUACUCGAUGGGUAGGGGUAAAAUCCGUUGAUCCAUUGAAGACCACCAGUGGCGAAGGCGGCUUGCCAGAACGCGCUCGACGGUGAGGGAUGAAAGCUGGGGGAGCAAACCGG
This 253-nucleotide ribosomal RNA is filed under the name uncultured bacterium. Its description in RNAcentral is "partial 16S ribosomal RNA". It matches the Rfam family "Archaeal small subunit ribosomal RNA", at positions 474 to 727 of the family's 1478-position model. The record is from RNAcentral.